This is a long non-coding RNA of Arabidopsis lyrata subsp. lyrata, 1187 nucleotides long. RefSeq lists it as uncharacterized. The record is from RefSeq and is a predicted model, not a curated record. The transcript is spliced from 2 exons. Lineage: Eukaryota; Viridiplantae; Streptophyta; Magnoliopsida; Brassicales; Brassicaceae.
GCCAUAUUUGUGUACAAGCAUAAACAUCUCCCUCUUCAUUUAGACCCGUAACCUAAGCCGCCAAGGGAGGGAGAGAAGAGAAUUGUCUUGACGCAAAGUCACCAUAACCGAAAUCACUCCGUUCAUCACCGUCUAUCACCGGAGUCGUGAUCGUCUUCACCGGCUUCUUGGGUAAGGAAUCCUAACGCUAUUUUUUCUCUUCCUCUUAGUGGUCUCUAUCUCUGCCGUGUAGAUUUGUGGUUUAAGUUCAAAGUUUCUCAUUUUUAGUGAAAGAGAGGAAGGAGAUAACAGUUUAGAGGUUUUGGAGACUUAUUUCCCGUCAAAUCCGCAGGAAUUAGAUCAAGAUUUUGACGUCACUAGAUACAUCUCGCUGCAAGGAAGCCAUAGCAACUGACAGAUUGACAAACGGAGGUAUAGUCCAUUCGCUAUUCAUCACACAAGUUGAUGAAGAAUCACUGGUUAUGAUUCCAGGAAAAACUGUUUCACAUAAAAUUCCAGGUUAAAGUUGGGGUUUUGGGAGAGAAUUCCGGUCAAAUCUGAGCGCUCUAGGUAAUAUCGACGGUGGUUAUUAAUAGAGGAGGUGUCAGGGAAGUCGCCUAAGCCGUCAAAGUCGCUGGAAAAGGUACAUCCUAACCACCAUGACGUUUGCUUGAUGCGCAAGAAACAUAUGAAACUGGUUUGAUUUGAUUUAAUCUCCCUGUGGAAACUCUUCAAUUUGGUAAAUGCAGCAGAGGCUCGUCGGAGAUUCUUUGUGGUCGAUCAUGUUGGUGAUGAGUUACGACUACUCUCAAUGCUAGAUGCUUUGGUAACAAGUUAAUUUCUAUAUAAUAUGGAUUUUCCACUUACAGAUUUGGAAUGUCAGAUUUUGUGAGUUGAAAAACUAUUUAUGUUUCAAAGUGUAUAUCUAAGCUAUACAAAAGAAGUAUAUUUGACAUCUUUUUCUCUUUUUAUAUUUGUGACUGUAGCCAUUAAGAGUAUAAAAUAUCUGCAAAAGAUGAAGACCAACAUAGAGACACCAAUUUGUAUCAAAAACAGGCAAUUACUCAUUUGACUAACUCUGGUUGUGUUAUACGUACGUUUAUUAUUCUUUCAAUUUGCUAACGACCUUAUAUGUGACUAUUUAGUAGAGCUGCUGAUUUGUAUAGGCAGAUUCUUCAGCUAAAGCCAUUGCUGGAGUACUUUAUUAA